ACCUCAUGCCGAGCCCCUCCGC
RNAcentral lists this microRNA (22 nucleotides) under Gallus gallus (chicken). Its description in RNAcentral is "microRNA Ros-gga". Lineage: Eukaryota; Metazoa; Chordata; Aves; Galliformes; Phasianidae. The record is from RNAcentral.